GCCAUGGUAGCUCAUUUGGAAAAGCACUGGACUCAAAAUCCAAGUAUAGCAAGUUUGAUACCUUUCCAUGCCA
Potamilus streckersoni is the source of this 73-nucleotide non-coding RNA. Lineage: Eukaryota; Metazoa; Mollusca; Bivalvia; Unionida; Unionidae. The record is from the annotation of a GenBank genome assembly.